Molecule: long non-coding RNA, 1907 nt
Organism: Mus musculus (house mouse)
Lineage: Eukaryota; Metazoa; Chordata; Mammalia; Rodentia; Muridae
Product: predicted gene, 39292
Exons: 3
Source: RefSeq, a predicted model, not a curated record
CAAGGCAGGCAUCUGGUAUUCUCUGUUGAGCUGUCUCUUCAUGCUCUUACCUAGCUUGCUGAGGCUGAGUUCCUGUCUUCUCCUCCCCACUGUAGGCACCUUUAUACCAUGGGAUAAAUGAUGGUUACCUCUGUUGGAAAUGGUUGACCAAGCUGUUCUAAAAGACACACUGUUUUUAUUCGUGGGGUGACCUCUUCCCUCCCUGUCACAGAGUUAAGGGGCAGCCUGUCUCAGACCAUGGAGGACACUUUGAGACAAACAGGCCUGGGUCCAAAGUGGAGAUGGGGACCUCAGCUCAGUUUCCAAAGCCAGCUUCUCUGUGAGUCCAGACCACAUGGUGUGACCUGCCAAUCAAAUGCACACUGCACCAACUCUGGUGGACACCCUGUCACCUUUGCCUUGUCUACUCUAUGGUGUUUAGUCACUGAGUCUUCUAGUUCCCAUUUCCAAGAUUCUCAUGACCCCCAAGAUCAACACCAUCAGGCUAGACCUCUCUUCUGACCUUCUGAUGCUAUCACCGGUGCACAGUUUGGGCAUCUGAUAAAGAUUUCUGCUGGUUUUUCAGCUUGAGGUGUGGAAGCCCUGAGAGCUUACAUGGAAAGGCAAGGAAAACGGACAAACAGAUGUGUGCACACCUGUACUGCCAGCUCUCCACAGAGGCUCACACCUUACUGCAGCUCUUGGGAAGUUCAGGCAAGAUGAUUAUCAUGAGUUCGAGGUUAGCUUGAGCUGCAUGGUGAUUUCCAUAUCUGCCUAUACAUACCAAUAUGCUGUUGAAAACAAAAGAAGGGGCAGGAUAGUGAGGCCCUCAGCAUCAUAUUCAUGUUAUAAAUUGAGCAUUAGCACUGGUAAGAAAUCCAAUAAAAUGAAAACCAAUGAAAAAACCAAGACAAUAAAAAGUUAGAGCUGACCAUUUCCUUAGGCUUCAGUUUAGAUUUUGAGUUGUGUUUCAUUUGCAGAUUUGCAUAUUUAUCUCCUCUGUAUUUGGUCUGUAAAUUCAUUUUGACUUCUAUUUAUAUAAAAGCCUCAUCUUAAGGAAUUUAUAUCUAUUUGCUUUUGCUCAUAUUUAAGUAACACCAAUCAUAUAAAUAUUGGUUCCCUGGAGAUAUUUUCUUAUGUAAGGUUUUAUCGUGGAUAAAUCCUUACCCAUACCUUCCUGGGUCUCCCACUGCCCUAUGGAGCUGACACUGUUGUCCAAUUUGCCGACUCAAUAUUAAUUACUCUUGAAGGAAAAGGGCUGGGGUAGAGACUGCCCAUAGGAAUAGACAUGAAAAGUGAUGAUGUCAGGCAAAUCAGAGUCUAGUUCAAAACCGAGGUCUGCUUCAUGGAGACAUGCUCCUUUUUUGGAAAGGAGACUUACUUUAUACCAUCAGCAGAAACUGCUAUUGUUGUGUUAUCUGUCUCAUUUUAGGACAUAACAAUUUUUAAAGCAAUUCCUUCCAGAAAUCUAUUGCAGCAAGUCUGUUAUGACAGGCAGCACCCAAGUCAUGCUUAGGGUAAUGGUCAGAUAAAGUUUUCAUCUUCAGUCACCAGAAUCAGUGCAGAUGGAUCUUGGGAAAGCUCAGGAUAGGAAGAGCAGAGAAGACAUGAAGGCCAAGGAAGAUAGAGGUGUGAAUUCAGACCAGAGCCCGAGGAGGAUUUCCACUCGGGAAGAGAAGUGGAAGGAGUAAGAGGAGGAAGAGAUGGAAGAAGUUUAGGAAGGAAAGAGGAGGCGGAAGAGGAGGAGGAGAUGGAAGAUGAAGAGGAAGAUGGACUGAUUAUGUUUACAGUCUUGGCAACUUGAUAGCCUAGAAGUCUCACUAUGGAAACGGGACACCUUGAGCAGCAGGCUUUGCUGGACUAUAAUACUGACUCAGUGAGGGCAUGCCUGUUGCUUGUGUGGGACAGAAAUUCAAGUGGAAAUUUUA